RNAcentral lists this ribosomal RNA (467 nucleotides) under uncultured soil bacterium. Its description in RNAcentral is "bacterial SSU rRNA". It matches the Rfam family "Bacterial small subunit ribosomal RNA", at positions 26 to 507 of the family's 1533-position model. The record is from RNAcentral.
AGAUUGAACGCUGGCGGCAUGCCUAACACAUGCAAGUCGAACGGCAGCGCGGGUAGCAAUACCUGGCGGCGAGUGGCGGACGGGUGAGGAAUACAUAGGAAUCUACCCUGUCGUGGGGGAUAACGUAGGGAAACUUACGCUAAUACCGCAUACGACCGAGAGGUGAAAGCGGCGGACCGCAAGGCGUCGCGCGGCUGGAUAAGCCUAUGUCCGAUUAGCUAGUUGGCGGGGUAAGAGCCCACCAAGGCGACGAUCGGUAGCUGGUCUGAGAGGAUGAUCAGCACACUGGGACUGAGACACGGCCCAGACUCCUACGGGAGCAGCAGUGGGAAUAUUGGACAAUGGGCGCAAGCCUGAUCCAGCAAUGCCGCGUGUGUGAAGAAGGCCUUGGUUGUAAAGCAUUUAGUACGGAAGAAAGUACCGUAGGUUAAGUACCCGAUGGUAGUAGUACGACGGUAACCCGUAAG